UACGAAGGUGGCAAGCGUUACUCGGAAUGACUAGGCGUAAAGCGCAGGUAGGUGGUAUGGAAAGUCUGUAAUGGAAUCUCCCGGCUUAACUGGGAGGGGUUUAUGGAAACUUCCGUGCUUGAGUGUGGGAAGGGAUUCUGGAAUUCCAGGUGUAGCGGUGAAAUGCGUAGAUAUCUGGAGGAACACCAAUGGCGAAAGCAGGAAUCUGGCCCAAUACUGACACUGAGCUGCGAAAGCUAGGGGAGCAAACAGG
Molecule: ribosomal RNA, 253 nt
Filed under: uncultured bacterium
Lineage: Bacteria
Description: partial 16S ribosomal RNA
Rfam family: Bacterial small subunit ribosomal RNA
Source: RNAcentral